This 220-nucleotide long non-coding RNA is filed under the name Gossypium barbadense (sea-island cotton). Its description in RNAcentral is "long non-coding RNA (GBAR_LNC016912)". Lineage: Eukaryota; Viridiplantae; Streptophyta; Magnoliopsida; Malvales; Malvaceae. The record is from RNAcentral.
AAAUAUUGAGAAAAUUGCAAGUGCAGCCCCUAGGGUUCACAAGCCCAAGGAAUUAACCCAAUUAUUUUCUAACUAGAAUUUAUAUAUUGCCCUUCCUCAAAAUUCUAAUAGAAUUUGCCUCCCAUCCUUCUAUUUAUUCUCUUUUUAUUUUCUUUCUCUUUUCUUUACACCAUAUUUUCAUCCUAAUUGUUGAUAAUUAUUUUACUUUCCCGACUCAAAU